This 93-nucleotide transfer RNA is filed under the name Candidatus Riesia sp. RNAcentral's name for it is "tRNA-Lys". It matches the Rfam family "tRNA". From Rfam's summary of the family: Transfer RNA (tRNA) molecules are approximately 80 nucleotides in length. Their secondary structure includes four short double-helical elements and three loops (D, anti-codon, and T loops). Further hydrogen bonds mediate the characteristic L-shaped molecular structure. tRNAs have two regions of fundamental functional importance: the anti-codon, which is responsible for specific mRNA codon recognition, and the 3' end, to which the tRNAs corresponding amino acid is attached (by aminoacyl-tRNA synthetases). tRNAs cope with the degeneracy of the genetic code in two manners: having more than one tRNA (with a specific anti-codon) for a particular amino acid; and 'wobble' base-pairing, i.e. permitting non-standard base-pairing at the 3rd anti-codon position. The record is from RNAcentral. Lineage: Bacteria; Pseudomonadati; Pseudomonadota; Gammaproteobacteria; Enterobacterales; Enterobacteriaceae.
GCCCCUAUAGCUGAACUGGAAGCAGUACUGUAAAAAGGAACAAGCACUCGGCUUUUAACCGAGCGGAUUUGGGUUCGAAUCCCAUUGGGGGUA